This 69-nucleotide transfer RNA is filed under the name Gammarus lacustris. RNAcentral's name for it is "tRNA-Val". Lineage: Eukaryota; Metazoa; Arthropoda; Malacostraca; Amphipoda; Gammaridae. The record is from RNAcentral.
GGCGGUUAGAAUUUUCAUUUACAAUGAAAGGCACCCUUUAGGGCGCCUUUAUAUCGCUAAAAAGCUAAG